This 207-nucleotide ribosomal RNA is filed under the name uncultured bacterium. RNAcentral describes it as "partial 16S ribosomal RNA". It matches the Rfam family "Bacterial small subunit ribosomal RNA", at positions 568 to 774 of the family's 1533-position model. The record is from RNAcentral.
CACGCAGGCGGUUUGUUAAGUCAGAUGUGAAAUCCCCGGGCUCAACCUGGGAACUGCAUCUGAUACUGGCAAGCUUGAGUCUCGUAGAGGGGGGUAGAAUUCCAGGUGUAGCGGUGAAAUGCGUAGAGAUCUGGAGGAAUACCGGUGGCGAAGGCGGCUUCCUGGCACACAACUGACGCUCAUGUGCGAAAGCCAGGGCAGCGAACG